This 996-nucleotide long non-coding RNA is filed under the name Sorghum bicolor (sorghum). RNAcentral's name for it is "long non-coding RNA (SBIC_LNC004088)". Lineage: Eukaryota; Viridiplantae; Streptophyta; Magnoliopsida; Poales; Poaceae. The record is from RNAcentral.
GGUUCAGUGAAACAUUACCUGACUUACAUGAAAAAAAUUGAAAGUUUCCUUUAGAAAAUGACUUCAUCAUCACUACUGACUAUAGAAGCCAUGUGAUCUGAGUAACUGAUCAUACCAAAUAAAAGUACUAAACUUGAAAGCCUAGGCACAAGGGACCCUCAGGAAGAAGAUUACUCUAUAAAUACUAUCGAUUUUGUCACUUCUGGAGCUGCAAAAUGCAACGAACAGUGUUUGCGUCCAAUGCAGAAAUGGCAACACAAUCGAGAGAUACGGUAGUGUAGAUAGCGCUAGCUACACACUCACAGGCUUGGAAGGCAUCAUGAAACUUGAGGUUGAUCAUCAAAUCAUCUCUUACUUCUCUUGUACUAGUAAUAUUUUGCGUAUAUAUGGCAUAUCCUGAAACAUCUGUCGUUGUUAUGGCACACUAGGAAUCUGGGAUGCAGGCCUAGGGUGUAUCGUCGCGCCACCCACUUCCAUUCACCUGAUUGCUCAACUUCUGUCGGGAAGUCAGGUGGCACAGAUCAAGGCAUUCUAACACAGAGGUGGGGUCAUUGGGCAAUACUUGAUUGAAGGACAAGUUGCUGAAAUCCAUCAACCCCUGCUUUGAAAGAGAGUUUGUGUUGUUGUGGAGGCUGAGAAUUCAGAGUUGGGUGUGUUUGGAUCUUUGGCUCCCAGAUAUAGCUACCUACCAGAUAGAUGAUCGUGGCUUCUAGAGCCACACAAAAUCAGACAUCUGGCGACGCUGCUGUUUAGGACAGGCAAGAAUCUCACACCAUCAUCCAAACAAGCUUCAUAUCCAGCCAUCCAUGUAGGGCACAAGUGACGAAUGCUGACACAUGUGUGCUCGUGACAUCCUUAGCAAAUCACGGCAGUUAAAAACAUUGUUAAUUCAGUCUUAGAGGCUUAAAAUAAAAAUUCUCAAGCAAUGCUUAGACCAUAAAAAAAGUCAAGCAAUGCUUUAAGCCCAUGCAUGACUUGAAUUUCUUUUUUCCCCAA